Molecule: ribosomal RNA, 374 nt
Filed under: uncultured organism
Description: partial 16S ribosomal RNA
Rfam family: Bacterial small subunit ribosomal RNA
Source: RNAcentral
GUAGGUGGCAAGCGUUGUCCGGAAUUAUUGGGCGUAAAGCGCGCGCAGGCGGUUCGUUUAAGUCUGGUGUGAAAGCCCACGGCUCAACCGUGGAGGGUCAUUGGAAACUGGAGAACUUGAGUACAGAAGAGGAAAGCGGAAUUCCACGUGUAGCGGUGAAAUGCGUAGAGAUGUGGAGGAACACCAGUGGCGAAGGCGGCUUUCUGGUCUGUAACUGACGCUGAGGCGCGAAAGCGUGGGGAGCAAACAGGAUUAGAUACCCUGGUAGUCCACGCCGUAAACGAUGAGUGCUAAGUGUUACGGGGGUUUCCGCCCCUUAGUGCUGCAGCUAACGCAUUAAUCACUCCGCCUGGGGAGUACGGCCGCAAAGGCUG